Molecule: transfer RNA, 71 nt
Filed under: Bos taurus (domestic cattle)
Lineage: Eukaryota; Metazoa; Chordata; Mammalia; Artiodactyla; Bovidae
Also listed under: 5 other names
Rfam family: tRNA
About the family: Transfer RNA (tRNA) molecules are approximately 80 nucleotides in length.
Source: Rfam by way of RNAcentral
UCUUGGUAGCUCAGUGGGUAAAGAAUCUGCCUGCAAUGCAGGAAACCCAGGUACAAUUCCUGGGUCAGGAA